RNAcentral lists this ribosomal RNA (253 nucleotides) under uncultured bacterium. RNAcentral's name for it is "partial 16S ribosomal RNA". It matches the Rfam family "Bacterial small subunit ribosomal RNA", at positions 80 to 334 of the family's 1533-position model. The record is from RNAcentral.
UAUAAGUGAUGGCGACCGGCGCACGGGUGAGUAACACGUAUCCAACCUGCCGAUAACUCGGGGAUAGCCUUUCGAAAGAAAGAUUAAUACCCGAUGGUAUAAUAAAGCCGCAUGGUUUAAUUAUUAAAGAAUUUCGGUUAUCGAUGGGGAUGCGUUCCAUUAGGCAGUUGGUGAGGUAACGGCCCACCAAACCUUCGAUGGAUAGGGGUUCUGAGAGGAAGGUCCCCCACAUUGGAACUGAGACACGGUCCAA